UGAGGAAUAUUGGUCAAUGGGCGCAAGCCUGAACCAGCCAUCCCGCGUGAAGGAAGAAGGCCCUAUGGGUUGUAAACUUCUUUUCCAGGGGGAGAAUUUUUCCGUCGUGACGGGAAUUGACGGUACUCUGGGGAUAAGCAUCGGCUAACUCCGUGCCAGCAGCCGCGGUAAUACGGAGGAUGCGAGCGUUAUCCGGAUUUAUUGGGUUUAAAGGGUGCGUAGGCGGAUUGAUAAGUCAGUGGUGGAAGGCUGCAGCUUAACUGUAGACUUGCCGUUGAUACUGUCAGUCUUGAGUAUGGUCAAGGCAGGCGGAAUGUGUAAUGUAGCGGUGAAAUGCUUAGAUAUUACACAGAACACCGAUUGCGAAGGCAGCCUGCUGGGCCAUCACUGACGCUCAUGCACGAAAGCGUGGGGAUCGAACAG
This 423-nucleotide ribosomal RNA is filed under the name uncultured bacterium. RNAcentral's name for it is "bacterial SSU rRNA". It matches the Rfam family "Bacterial small subunit ribosomal RNA", at positions 355 to 775 of the family's 1533-position model. The record is from RNAcentral.